CCGUUUGUACACACCGCCCGUCACACCAUGGGAGCUGACUCAACCAGAAAACGGCCUAGUUAACCGCAAGGAGACUAUCGUUGAAGGUGGGGUUGGUGACUGGGGUG
RNAcentral lists this ribosomal RNA (107 nucleotides) under uncultured bacterium. RNAcentral describes it as "partial 16S ribosomal RNA". It matches the Rfam family "Bacterial small subunit ribosomal RNA", at positions 1377 to 1482 of the family's 1533-position model. The record is from RNAcentral.